This 253-nucleotide ribosomal RNA is filed under the name uncultured bacterium. RNAcentral's name for it is "partial 16S ribosomal RNA". It matches the Rfam family "Bacterial small subunit ribosomal RNA", at positions 524 to 776 of the family's 1533-position model. The record is from RNAcentral.
UACGUAGGGUGCAAGCGUUGUCCGGAAUUAUUGGGCGUAAAGAGCUCGUAGGCGGUCUGUUGCGUCGGCUGUGAAAACCCGAGGCUCAACCUCGGGCCUGCAGCCGAUACGGGCAGACUAGAGUUCGGCAGGGGAGACUGGAAUUCCUGGUGUAGCGGUGAAAUGCGCAGAUAUCAGGAGGAACACCGGUGGCGAAGGCGGGUCUCUGGGCCGAUACUGACGCUGAGACGCGAAAGCGUGGGGAGCAAACAGG